AUUGAACGCUGGCGGCAUGCUUUACACAUGCAAGUCGAACGGCAGCGCGGGGCAACCUGGCGGCGAGUGGCGAACGGGUGAGUAAUAUAUCGGAACGUCCCCAAGAGUGGGGGAUAACGUAGCGAAAGUUACGCUAAUACCGCAUACGAUCUUAGGAUGAAAGCAGGGGACCGCAAGGCCUUGUGCUCCUGGAGCGGCCGAUAUCUGAUUAGCUAGUGGGUGAGGUAAAGGCUCACCAAGGCGACGAUCAGUAGCUGGUCUGAGAGGACGACCAGCCACACUGGGACUGAGACACGGCCCAGACUCCUACGGGAGGCAGCAGUGGGGAAUUUUGGACAAUGGGCGCAAGCCUGAUCCAGCAAUGCCGCGUGAGUGAAGAAGGCCUUCGGGUUGUAAAGCUCUUUUGUCAGGGAAGAAACGGCUGAGGAUAAUACCUUCGGCUAAUGACGGUACCUGAAGAAUAAGCACCGGCUAACUACGUGCCAGCCGCCGCAGUAA
This 498-nucleotide ribosomal RNA is filed under the name uncultured bacterium. RNAcentral describes it as "partial 16S ribosomal RNA". It matches the Rfam family "Bacterial small subunit ribosomal RNA", at positions 30 to 523 of the family's 1533-position model. The record is from RNAcentral.